GUGCUCGUUUUGCCAGCACGUAUACUAAAAUUGGAACGAUACAGAGAAGAUUAGCAUGGCCCUUGCACAUGAUUCAAGUUUAUCAUUCUGUAUGAUAGAGUGUUACU
Small nuclear RNA from Cavia aperea (Brazilian guinea pig), 107 nucleotides. The record is from Ensembl. Lineage: Eukaryota; Metazoa; Chordata; Mammalia; Rodentia; Caviidae.